CCUACGGGAGGCAGCAGUGAGGAAUAUUGGUCAAUGGUCGUAAGACUGAACCAGCCAAGUCGCGUGCAGGAUGACGGUCCUAUGGGUUGUAAACUUCUUUUAUGCGGGGAUAAAAUGCGUCACGUGUGCUGUUUUGUAGGUACCUCAUGAAUAAGGACCGGCUAAUUCCGGGCCAGCAGCCGCGGUAAUACGGAAGGUCCGGGCGUUAUCCGGAUUUAUUGGGUUUAAAGGGUGCGUAGGCCGCAUGUUAAGCUUGCCGUGAAAGGCCGUGGCUCAACCAUGGCAGUGCGGUGGGAACUGGCUGGCUUGAGUGCGCGGAACGGAUGCGGAAUUCGUGGUGUAGCGGUGAAAUGCUUAGAUAUCACGAAGAACUCCGAUUGCGAAGGCAGCAUACGGCAGCGAUACUGACGCUGAAGCUCGAAGGCGCGGGUAUCGAACAGGAUUAGAUACCCUUGUAGUC
RNAcentral lists this ribosomal RNA (460 nucleotides) under uncultured bacterium. Its description in RNAcentral is "partial 16S ribosomal RNA". It matches the Rfam family "Bacterial small subunit ribosomal RNA", at positions 338 to 795 of the family's 1533-position model. The record is from RNAcentral.